CUCAUGAUCUGCCCGCCUCAGCCGCCCAAAGUGCUGUCAUUACAGGCGUAAUGACACUCAGCCACCGUGCCUGGCCCCACAGAGUGGUUUUAAAGUCAAAUCACUUUGGAAGCGAGUUUUUAAACAGCCCAGCUGGGACCUUUAGUUUCAAUGAGGGAUUUCACCUAAGCCUCUGACAAGUCUCCAAGCACUGUUUGUUUUAAAGCACUAAGCACUUUAGACUUAACUUGGCAAGAAUACCUGGGUAUCUCUAAAUAAAUCAGUGACCCCAAAUGUCUAAAGAACAAAUGAAGAUUCUGCAGAUUCUUUUCCUCUAGUAUCUCUAUCAGGCCAGAGCAUUCUUCUUUUAGUGCAUGCUUAUUUUUAUACUUGCUUUUGCAACCCUUUAUGCUUUUAUUGAAAUGUUUGUAACCUUUUGUAACAGCCUCUUGAUAAGCUUCCAUGUGGGUUUUCAUUUUGCAAAUGAGAUCUUAUUUACCAAGUUGGUGGCUUGUGUCUUUUGGCUAAAUAUGUGGUAUAUGUUAGGGGCUAUAACGAGUUAUGUUUGAGAGGCCAAUAAUUUGUUAUUACCAUAUAGUAGAAAGAAUAAACAUGUUUUCUCAAGAUUCCCAUUCCUAAGUUGUGUAAUCUAACACUCGCCCAGGUACCUACCUCUGCGAAGGGACUCUGAAGACAGAAUUAAGUUAAAUAAUCAGCUGUCCUUAAAUUAGAUAAGGAAGCUGAAUUUUUCUAGUUGGGAGGCUAAUAUUUAAUGUCAUCACUGGAAACCUUAAAAGCAAAGCAGGAAAACAGAAAAGUUAGAGAGAAGCUGUUGAAGAUGGAGGCAGAGGAAAGAUGAAGUGGAAGGGAAGGUACAGAGAUUUGAAACAUGAGGACUCAACCCACUGUUGCCAACUUUAAGGGCUGAAGAAUGUAGGUGGUCUCUAGAAGCUGAGAAUGACCCCAGUCCACAGGCAGCAAGGAAGCAGGACCUCACUCCUUCAGCUACACGGAGCUAAAUUUGGCCAACAAUCCAAAUGAGCUUAGAAGUGAACUAUCCCCCAGGGACUGGCCAGCAGACACUUUAAUUUCAGCCUUGGGAAAAACCCAGAGCAGCCAAUUCUGACUUCUGACUGGCUGAACUGUGAGGUAAUAGACUUGUGUUGUUCUAAGCCUCUGUUUGAUCUAAGUUGCUUUAAGUCUGUGGUGAUGGUGCACAUACUCUAAUGGUAGCAAUAGAAAACUGGUAAGGUAAAAAAUGCCUUGGAGUAUCUGAGUGUCCUGGGUUACUUGAUUUCAACAACAGCUGGCCAGGAAAAGAGAGCAAGGGAGAAAAAGAGAGGAAAAAGGAAAAGAGGAGAGAAGGUAUCUGACAUUAUAAACAGCAGGGACAAUUUGGUCUCCACUCCAUUCUAUGACUCUCACGUAGCUUCUUGCACACCUCAUGGUAUUAGCGUCUCACAACACUGAGUGGGUUUUUUAAAUUUGAUGGGUUUCUUGAGAGUACAAGGUGGCCUUUUUUGGGUACAAAUUUAAAAUUUGAUGGGUUUUUAGGGUACAAGAAUGGCCUUCUUUAUUAUAAACUGUGUCCUACUGAGUACAUUAUAUUUAUGAAUAGUUACAGUAUAGGGUUGUAUAUGUAAAACAGUGCCCACUAUACUUUAAGGAAACUGUAAGAGAUCUUCAGCAGUAUUUUGAUUUCAGGUCAUUUUCAUCUUAUAGACUGAUUUUUUUCGGAAACAAACCACCAUGUGACAUCCAACACCAUUGUCCCGAAUGCUAUCCCUCCCAGUCACAGCCUUUGGAGAACCUGAGCUUCUAGAAGGAAGCAGUUCACAGGAAAAUAAAGGAGCCUCACUUGCUGUUGCUAAAAAGGCUGAGGCCCAUGUAUAUACUGUCAGCCCAUCAAUUCCCUCAACUUCUCUACGCUGGAUUAGAAUGUCCCUUUUUCCUUUCUAAGCACACUACAAAUCAUUCCUUUUUUAACCUCUUUUCUUAUACAAGGUAACCUGGGAUGUUAGUGAUAAAUAAUCUGAUUCAACCUGUGAAAAUCUGGAGGGUUGGGAAGGAAAUAACAAAGCACACGUAUGUCUUGCCCCAGCCCUGUUCCCUCAUUGGUUUCCUCAAUGCCCAGGAAAAAAGCGCUGAUUGAGAUGAAUUUUCUAAUGCAUAAUAUUCUUUCUCUUUGUAUAGCCUAGCUUCAGUAUUGCUUCUCUCUCAUGUAUCUUUGUAAUUUUCUGUGUAGGAAACUCUGGAGGCCUCCCACAGAUUGGCUCAUUUUAACAAAAAUGCAUUUCUUCUGCCCUCUACAACCUCCAGGAGCCUUCAAAGAUGAAGUUAAUUAUACAUAUUUUAAAAAGAAACCAAACACAGAGUCUUGAGGAUUUCAAGUUCUAAAACCAGAUUUAUUAUGUUCAAAGUUGUGUCUGGAUAAAAGGAAAGUGUAACAUUAAAAUAUUAAUCUAUUCAUGCCAUUUAGUGCUUUGAGUUAUUCACAGAUGCUUGGGGUUGUUUGUUUGUUUGUUUUGUUUUGUUUUUGUUUGUUUGUUUAUCUAAGAAUAAGGCAUUUAUCUGAGACCAAUCAAAUGGAAAGGAAUAUUUUUUGCUUUCGGAAUUCUUCCCAUUUGGGGUUGUUUUAUUAUAGAACACCAUCCCUUGGACAUUUUAUGAGCUGUAUUCCUAACACAUUUACAUGUGAUUGAAGCGCUUAACAGAAAAACUAGGUAAAUUGAGUACUAACAGCUAAAGCAAAAUGCUAGGCAACUAUUUCCAAAUGUAAAGUGCUUUGAAGCUGUUAAGCCAUUCUAUCCCACUCCCCCAAGCUCUCCUUCCUCUGAGAAUUAUAAAGGAGAUGAUGUUCUGUAAAAUAUUUGAUGAUGUCUGUUUUAGUCGACCAUUUACAUUUUCCAAACUGAUUUGGGAGUUUAGCUUUAGCCUCUCCCCAUUUUAUGUUGUUUAGUCAAGAAUCUUCUAGGUACAGAAUAAAGUUUUUGAAUUUUGCUCUUCUAUUUAUAAAAAGACAAUAAUACUACUCAUCUUUGCCAAUCUCAUUGGAUUAGGGAGCUUGGACGUUAUGAUAAACAAGGAUAUAAACUUUAAAUAGCCAUACAUAUAUAAAGUAUUAGAAAUGAUAUUACUUCUAACAUUGUUAUUAGCAGAAACUUUACAGACUCAAGAUGCUAUGAAAAUGUAGAAGGCACAGAACUUAUACUCUAUUAUAGCUGAGGAUUCAGAAAUAUCAUUUAGGCCUGAAAUACUUUAUUUCAGUUCUAAUAUUUGUUUGGUUAGAAGCAUUUUGACAGGUAAUACUAUGCUCACUAAAUGUUUGCUCCCCACACUUUGCCCAGGUUUUUCAACCAUAUCUCAUUUACUAAAAUCUUCAGGAUCUUUUCUCCUGGGUUGUUUUCCUGUGGAGACUCUUGCUAGUGUUUUAUUCAUAAUUGAACUUUACAUGUACUAUAUCUUGCAUAGAGUACACUAGGCUUGCCUCGUCUUCAUUUGAGAUAUACCUUUCUUUUGUUAUCACCUAAGGUCACAUUGAUUUUUUGUCAGUGUCUCCUAUAGUGUAUUCCAUGCUGGAUUGAAUAAGGAAUAUGGGGGAGGAGACAUACUCUGCAGUAAUUCUUUGGAAUUUAGGAAGGGCCAUUGUUGAUCAUAUAAUCGGAAGAUCUUUGAUUUGAUACAAGAAACAGAGGGCCAGAAUGAUAAAGCCAUUUGCUUAAGUUCACACAGUUGGUUGCUAGCAAGGGUAGAAUUAAAAUUCUGAUGAUUCCAGAUCGAAUGCUCUUCCCACUAUGCAGGAGAAGGAGGGAGAACACAAGAAGAAAGAUGGCUCAGAGCAGGAGUCAGCAAACUAUAGCCUGUGGGCUGUAUCUGGCCUACUGCCUAUUUUUGUAAAUAAAGUUCUUUUUGGAACACAGCAUAUCCAUUCAUUUACAUAUUAUAUAUGGCUGUUUUCACACUACAAGGGCAGAGCAGAAUAGUUUUCAGAGACCAUCUGGUCUACAAAGCCUGAAAUGUUUAGUCUGGUCGUUUACAGAAAAAAUUUGCUGACCUCUGGCUUAGAGGAGAGAUGACUAAAAAAUCUGGAUAGGAGCACUUCGUGAGCAGUCCUUUUAGUUUGCACGCUUGUUUCUAGUUCUUGUUUACUGAACAAACUGCUUGGCUAUUAGGCAAAAUUGUCCAUCUGACUCUCUCAUGAUUAAUUACUGGUUGAUUUAAUAAAUGCACAUGUAUCCUUGCAGAAGGAUCAGUAAAUAUUUUCCAGAGGUGUGUCCUAUAAUAUGUGAUUUGUUUUCUGUAUUCAUCUUCAUAAUAUAUUCUUGAUGACAUUAGUAUGUCUAAUUGAAAGUAGUGGAAACUUACAUGGGAUACACAAUAGCUGUAUUCAAGUAUGUGAAGGACUCUCCUGUGAGUAAAAGGAUUAGAUGUAUUUAUCCUUCAAGUCCAACUAAAAUGUGCCUUUGUUGUUAAGCCCCUGAUUCUAGCUACUCCCUUCUUUGGGCAAAAUUAAUCACCCUCUCUUCUGUGCUUCCAAAAUUCUUUGUACAAAGUGCUGUUAUAGCAUUUGUCACAUGGCAUUAUAGGUCAUCAUUUGCACAUUUGUAACCCCAGUUGAUGGUGAAAUCCUUGAAAGUGAAGACAAUAUCUUCCUCUUUUUGGCAUCCUCAUCAUUGGGCUCGGGCCGUGACUCAUGAUGGUAGCAACCUAAUGCUUGAUGAGUGAAGGUAUAUUAUAAUCUCAGAGGGCAAAGCAAGGACCGUUGUGAAAUCUCAGUAAAAAGAACUUGGUGGUAGUGCUGGCAACCAAUUGAAAACUCUCCUGAACAGUGUGCUUGGACAUCAAAGAGAAGAACUAGGGGUUAGAAUGCCUAGGCUUGCAUUUUAACUGUGCCGUUUAAUAACUGUCCAUAGGUGGGUUGCUUAUCUCUGAACCUCAAUUUCCUCAGCUUUGAAAUGGAGAGGAUACAGGGAAGCAGUUUUCUAAGUGUGGGCUAUAAACCCCUGGGUAUUCCCAAAACACUUUCAAGGAGUCUUUGAGGUGAAACCUAUUUUUAUUAGAAUGCUAAGACAUUUGUCAUUUUCACUCUGUCGAUAUUGGCAUGGAUGGUGCAAAAGCAAUGGUGGGAAAACUCCUGGUGUCUUUGUACAAAUUAAAGCAGCAGCAGCACCAAGUUGAACUGAUAGUCAUUGUUUUCAUCUCGGUCAUAUACUGACAUGAAAAAAAAUACAUAACAGCUUCACUUAAGAAUGCUUUUGAUGAAGGAGUAAAAUUAUUAAUUUAUUAAAUAUACUUAUAUAAUUAUUAAAUAUAAAUUAUACUCAAUCUUUGAGUAUAAUUUCCUUUUUAAUAUUUUGUGUGAUAAAAUGGGAAGUAUACAUAAAUCGCUUUUACAUUUCGGAAGUAUAAGGGCUGACUUGAGGAAAAAGUACUUGUGCUAUUGAUUUGCCAGCUAAACCAGCAUGAAACUAGGCAUGGUGUUUCAGAAGCAUGCGUAGGUGAAGAUCCAUUGAAAGUGCAGUAUGGGCCAGGAGUCAUGACAGUUCAUGCCUGUAAUAUCAGCACGUUCGGAGUCAGGGAGGGAGUAUCUCAUGAGUCCAGGAGUUUGAGAUCAGCCUGGGCUACACAGGGAGAACCCAUCUCCACCAAAAUUAAAAAAUAAUAAGCUAGGUGUGGUGGCAUGUGCCUGUGGUCCAGCUAGUUGGGAGGCUGACAUGGGAGGAUGUCUUGAGCCUGGGAGUUUAAGGCUGCUGUGAGACUUGAUGGGACCCCUGCACCCCAGCCUGGGUGACAGAGCAAGACCCUGUAUUAAAAAAUUUGAAAGUACAAUAUGGAUAUACUUUAAGAUGAAAAGAUGUUAAUGUAAUAGCAUCAAUAUGUUAAAUUCAUUGAUAGGGUUUCAGAUUCCACAUUGCCAGCCACUUUUAAAGAAACUACUACUGUCAAGUUUUGGUGUGAUAUCAAAGAUAAAAUAUCUGCAUUAUGUGAAAAGGCUUUUAAAGAGUACCUGCUUUUUCUACUAUAUAUCAUCUGUGUGAGGUAAGAUUUCUUCAUAUACUUCAAGCAAAGCCACAUAUUGCAACAGAUUGAAUAUAUAAGCAGAUAUGAAAAUCCAGCUGUCUUCUAAGGCAGACAUGAAAAUGAUUUGCAAAACUUAUAAAACAAAGCUGUUCUCCUCACCAGUUUUGUUUUGGAAAAUAGAGUUAUUUAUUAUAAAAUGUUAUUUAUAUUAAUGUGUAAUCAAUUUAUAAUUUUUAUUUAAAAUGUGUUUGUAAACAUUUUAAAAUUUCCAUUUUAAUUUCUAAUAUGGUAAGUAUUAAUAGAGUAAAUUCACACAACAAGUCUUUGAAGUUCUCAGUUUUUAAGAGUAUAUAAUAAGGGUCCUGAGACCAAACAGUUUGAGAAUCACUGAUGUGGGAGACAGGCAUUUUCAUAUACUGCUGAUGGGAGUAUAAAUUGGUACAAACUCUUUGGAAACCAUAUGCUAUUAUCUACCAAAACUUAAAACACUUGCCCAUCGAUUCAGCCAUAUAAUACAACAUUGGUUGUAAAAGUAAAACAAAAGAAAAUGGGAAUUAAAGCACACAACAGUUGAAGCUCUUUAAGUAAGUACAUCCCAAAAGUGAAUUUAUAUAUAUUUUGCAGAUAUUAAAAAUAGUUACUAAUCUGGAACUAUACAAAGAGUUCCAAGACAUGUUAAGUAUUAAAAUAGCCGCAGAAAAUUAUUUUUAGUAUAUCCUAUUUGUGUAAAUAACAGUUAUCUGUUAAUAUAGACAAAUGCCUAGAAUCUGGAGUUACUUUGGAGAAAAUGAUUAGGGGCCAAAGAAGGGUGAAAAGAGACAUUCAGAUCUCAUUUCAUACCCUUUCAUAUUUUGUUAUUUACAUAUCCAUUUUUCGUCUUACUUAAAAAAUUAAUGUAGGUGAUAAUACUCAGAAUGUAAACUAGUUGAGCAGUGUUAAAUCUCGUGGCCUAUAGAGGAUGUUUACAAUGUAAGUGUUGCAUUUUGCAUGUAAUUAUUACAUAUGUAGUGACACUGUUGGUUGUAAAAGUGAAUGAUCACUUCACGUGUUAGUGUGAUCUCAUCAGUAGAGUGUUCUCCAAGCAAUUAACGAAUGAUAAGGAAAUAUCAUAGAUCAGAUUUCUGCCUCUGAGUAUAUUCAACUGAUCUCUCAGUUUAAAUUCUGAUACUCUUUGAUACCGUUAUUUCUUAAUGAACAGCCAUAAUAUUUGGGACUAGAAGUUCUAUACCAAAGGUCCUCCAUCAAAAAUUUUGAUAGAAUUCACUUUUCCCCUUUAAUUUUGUUCUCAAAGUAGGGAGGGACUACUAGGACAAAUAUGUAAAUAUUCACUUAGUCUUAUACUGUGCCACAGUAGGAAGCACCCUAAGUUAUGAAAAGAAAUUAUUACAUUAAUCUCACAAUUGCCGGUUCUACAAACUGGAAUUUAUUUAGUAGAAUUGCUCCCAUUCUUAGGAUAAGUUUGUCUCUAGGAUAAAUUUUUCCUAUAAGAUAAAUGAUGCAAUUUGCCAUCUUAAAAUAAAGAACACUCCAUAUAUUAUUAUAUAAUUUUAAAAAAUUAUUUAGUGAUUAACACAACUACUUUUUGGGUCCAGUAAUAUAAUCUUUUUAGUCAAGAGUCGUGUAAUAUAAUUACAUCAACAUAUACAGACAAACUUGUGUCAACUGUAUAUGCAACUAUAUUUUUAUAAAAUAGGAGUGAGGUUGUUGUGUGAAAACAGGUGGACUUUUCUGGAAGAACAGAAAUAAUUUACUACUAGCAUCUUAUUGAAAGAAAAAUGCCAAUUCAAUUUGAAUAAUGUUGGGAGAUAAAGCAUGCCAGCAUUAUUCUUUAUUUCUUUUAUUAAUGAGUUUGGGUACAAAAAAGUCAAUAAAAAUUGCAUUAAAAACUCAUAAACAUUGUUCAAAUCUUCUUUCUCCAUCAGUCAGAUUCAUAAAGCUGGCAUUUACAUUUAAAUGGCAGUUAAUAACAAUAGAAUUUUAUUUAGUGAGUCAAACAACACAUGGACUCAUUUAUUUACUUAUCGGGCAUUUGUUGAGUGCCUCCUCUCUGCCAGACCCCAUACCAGGUACUGGGUCUCCAGCCUUGAAUAAGACAUACUUCUUACAUUCUAUGAGUUUAAUCACCAGUGGAGCAGAAAACUAUGUAAACUGAUAACUAAGGAAGUAACAUUGUGAAAUAGGAAGAGCAUGAGAUCUAGGGGGUAAACAAAUUUUAAACUUGGGCUUCCCCAUUUCUGAAUUAUAUAGACUUCCAACUUUUCUAAGUUUCAGGGCUUCAUCUGUAAAACAGAGAUAAUAAUUUCAGAGUGUGUCUUUUUUAGGAGUUGGAGAAAACAUUAAAAGUACAGAGCCUGAAACUAAAUCUAAUCAAAUGAGAUCUAUUUAUUACCCUUAAACAAUAAUAUGAAAGGUACUAUAUUACAGGCAUGUACAAGGAAGAAAGGAUAAUUGACUUGGGGAUGGAGACAGGUAAUGAAAAAUUUCUUAAUGGACAAGUGUUUAGGAUAAGGCAAUGUUCACAGCAGGAAUUCCAAGCCCAGAAAUUUUCAUUCACAGAGGUAUGAUUCGAACUUGUGCUAAAGUAUGAGGAACUACAAGUCAUUUGGUGAGGCUGUAGUCUCAAAAGCAUUGAAAUGAAGAUGGUGUAUUAAUGGUUGUCAAUCAUUUAAUGGUUGUCAGAGGACAUUUUCUGUCCUGCAAAUGAUUCAAGACUUUAUGCAGUGCAAUGGGAAUGACAAUAAAUAGAGUUGAGCUAUAUUUUGAAGGUAGAAUUUAUAGAAUGAGUGACAAUGUAAGACUGAAGGAAAGAAAGGAAGAAAAUUCCAGAUUUCUGGCUCAGGUAAGUAAUAGUUGAUGUCAUUGAUCAGAAGAAAGAAUUGAGGAGAAAACGUAGGUUUCAGGGCAAAAUGAUCAAUUUCAUUUGGGUAUAUGAAAUCUUCCUUGUCAGGAUCUCAGGCAGGAGACCACACCUGGGUUGGAGAAAAGACUGGAGAGUGCUAAGCAUCAGAUGACUACCUAGAAGUCAGAAGUCCCAAGUUUCUAAAUGUGUUGUUCACUAGCUUUGUGACUAGUGAAUUUCACCUUUCCUUUUUCUAUAAGGGAUUUAAAGCAGCUUAACUGUGUAAUUAUGAUGUCUCAUAAAUGUCCAGGUCUCAGCCUACGUUUUCUCAUGAGUACAAAUUUUGAAAAACUAGUCAACAUCCUUCACAGAGUUGUUUUAAGGAUCACAUUUUUUUGAUAUCUGUGAAAUCCCUGGAACAUAUCUGAUAUACAAACAGAGAAUGACAUGUUUAGCACUUAAAGAUUGAAAUUACAUUAUGCAAGCAAACAUGGAACUCUGAGGAAACUCAUUGGUAAUGACACUGUUUAUGGUUACAGUGUAAUGUCCGAUCAUUUAUUGUAAUGCAGUGUAAUGGUUAGAAGUGAGGCCUCUGAGUCAAACUGCCUAGAUUCAAAUAUCAGCCAUUUACUCUUUGAUUUUGGGCAAGUUAUUUAACCUUUUUUAUAAGACAGAAACUUGCAGAGUAUCUACCUCAUAGGUUGUCAGGAAGAUGAAAUGAGUUAGUGUAUAUAAAGCAUACAGGUCAGUGACUGAUGCGUAAUUUAGGUCUCAGUGUGUACUCAAUAUUUUUACAAUCGUCAUCAGAGGCAGUAACAUCAUAAGCAUUUGUCACUAACAAAUGGCAAAAUUUUUGUGGAGGGACAUUGGAGAUAAUCAUAUUGGUUUUAUAGAUGAGGAAAAGGGAGCUCAGAUAAGUUGAAAGAUAUGUUCAAGGAUGCAUAUAUCUUUAGUGAAAGAUGGCACUGAGGCCCAAAUACUUCUUAACUCACUAUACUUCCUUAACCCUUUUUAGGGUAGGGUCUGUGUCUUCAUGAGUAGUUUAAGCAAAAAUGUAAUUUGAGUUGACAAUUAUGUAUGUCUUACAGACAAUAACAUUGCAGAUGUUCUCCUUUAUUAAUAAAUUUGGUAAAGGUCAGAAGUUUCCUUUUUACAGAUGUUAGCUCAAAUUAAGCACUAACUGUUAUGGGUGUGUGUGUGUGUGUGUGUGUGUAUGUGUCAGACGGUAGUCAUAAUGUGAAACACAUAUGUUCAGAUAAUAUUUGCUAGUUACUCCCUAGCAGUUGCAGACCCCCAGUAUUCAAGGGAAACAAAACACCAAGAUUCCAUAAGAUACUUUAUUGAUAUGCCUUAUUUUAUAAUUUUCUUUGUGAUUUAUUAGGUGAAUUAAACACAUACCUUAAGAAGAGAUUUUCUUGUUUUGUAAGUUUAUUAUGAAUAUUAGACCUCAGGCUAAAGUUAUUGAACAUUAGCACAUAUGCACAUAAAGCACUGUGAUAACAUCACAGAAUAUUUAAUGAUACUUGAGUUUCACAUAAAAUAUUUUCACCUGCAAAGCCCAAAGCAUUUCAUAAAUAUUAAUGCUGUUAAUCAAAGAUUUGAAUAAAUAGAUGGAUUUUGUAUUAUACCCUGAAGAUAAGUAGAGUGAGAUUCUUAUUGAAUUUAUGUCGUCUAUUUUAGGAGCUAGGUGGAGGUGAUAAAACUGAGCCCAGACUUUUUUUUUUUUUUGAGACGGAGUUUUGCUCUUGUUACCCAGGCUGGAGUGCAAUGGCGUGAUCUCGCUGAGCCCAGAUUUUCAUUAAUUACCUAUAAUAAGUGGUUCCAAAUAAAACAUUUUAGAAUGUUACCAGAAAUAGUUGCUAGAUAGUCAGACUCUAGACAUGAAAAACAAGAUAAAGAAGGAAAGUUAAAUAAGAUAAAAUGAACAGUAAGUUAAGCAAAUAUUGUUUAAAAGAUACAGAGAAAUUAAGAAAAAAGGUGUAGUCAAUUUAUAAAUCACACGUUUGUAUUGUCUUAAUUUAGGCACACCAUGGAAAUCAAUAGUUGUAGUUUCACUUGGAAGAUAUAGUUUAUCAUGAUUAUUUAACUAGGAAUUUCACUUUCUUCCUUUCAAUUUGGAUUAUCAUGCAUUUCCCCCAUUCUGAGCUCCUCCAGCUCUAAAAUUCACAUGAUGUUCUACAAUGGGAUAUUUUCCUUAGUAAAAUCAUUGGGUUCUAGUUUGCUAAAAAAUGUAUACUGUGCGGUUUAAGAAAUCCGUAGUGAGUACCUAACAAUUACAUGUUGCUCUGGUCACUAUUUUUGUUACUUUGUGAGUGGUGAUGGUUUGGAUUUGCACAGAGAAGUAAGUGAAAGCAGCUCUCCACCAAUGCAGUUAUGGGGUCACUUUCCUUACCUCUACCCUAUUUUUAUUAGAUGUCCUGGGUGUGCUUCACAGGUUUCGAAAUGGGAACAUUUCUACACUUCAGCCAAAAUAUAUGCAUCACAGUUUAUAUCACAUGGGAACUGCUUGGGCUUGAAGGCCUUUCUCAGCUCCGUCACAGCCUCAUUCCCUCCCUACCUUUGAACCUCCCCAAACAAACACUAAGCUGCUUCUCUUCCCCUGUAUUCCAUCUUUACCUCACCAUGACUUCCAACAAGGUUCUGCCCAAGCUCCAGUUCUUUCACAAAUCCUUUGCUAACCUCGCCGGUCACAACUGAUUUAUUAUAUUGUACUCCUAGAGCACUCUCUCGGCAUCUCACAGUUGAGCAGUUAUAGUUCAGUGUGGUUUCAUGAGGCUUGUUAUUGUCUUAAUGGUAUUUUGUUUCUAAAAGAAACUACCACGUGUUUCAUUUUUGACACCUAUAUGGUCCCUGGCAUAGUGAGGAGGAAAUAGAUUAAAUAUCCUAAUAAAUUUCUAUUAACAAGUUAAGUAUUGUGACCAAAUCUGUCUUAUUUUAUUCUUAAAAUACCCAUUUGUAAUGAGGUUUUCUUUCUGAGCAAUGGAUUGUUAGAAAUGACUUUCAUACACGUAAAUUUUAAUUAUAUAUAUAUAUUUGUACUUAACAAAUUGUUUUCAUUGAAAAGAAUCCUACCUGAGCAACAGAGUGAGACCCUGUCCCUAAAAGUAAAAUAAAAGAAAUAGAAGGAAAAAAAAGAAAAACAAAUCAGGCUGUCCUGGUAAAUGUGGAGCAUAUACAGCAUACACUGUAUUGGUUUGUGAUGAUUUUUUAGAUAUAAACAUUCCCUAUUUUAAUUCUUAGCCUCUUAUUAAUAAUUAAUACUCUCUGAUAAUGCUUUUUACUAUAUAUUUUUGUUACUUUGAUAUUUUUUCAAGAUCCUAUACAUUUUCAAACAGAGAGUAAAUGCUCUUCAGCUAUUGUUUAGUCAUAAUAAAAUUAUAGAGGUUCCAAAAUAUGAAAAACUGAUAACUUCAAGUAGUCCCUAGUUAAUGAUUUUGCUACCUUAAAAUGGCAAUUGCUUAUAAAACAUUAUACACCCUUUCUGUGAAAUAGGAAAAACUCUUCAGAGAGGAAAACCAGAGAUGGAAUUUGGAAUGUUGCUUGGCUAUGUAUAUAGAACUGCUCCUAAAAAGAAUACAGUAAAAUGAUAACAUAGCAAUUUCUAGGUUAUGUUCACAAGCAGAGAGAGCCCAGUACUGCCAAUCAAAUCAAAAGUGUUCUGUGUUUCAUUGGGAAUUGAUGUCUUUAGUUAAUACACUCAGAAGCAUUAAAAAAAUAACCUAUGUUCUGAAUUAAGUAUGGAAAGUACAUUUCUGUCCAGGAAUUCGUUGAGAUGAAAUUAUUUUAUCUGAGGAAACAAUGCAGUAAAUUUUAUUUCCUUUUGGUGUAAUUUUAAAGUGUUCUUUCUAUUUUAAACUUAGACCAAAAAAAAUGCACUCUAUAAAUUGAGUGAUGUGAACUACUUUAGCAGAGAGUUAAUAAAUAUUACACUAGCCUAGGACAGUAUCUAUAGAAAGUAAAA
Sapajus apella (tufted capuchin) is the source of this 12800-nucleotide long non-coding RNA. RefSeq lists it as uncharacterized. The transcript has 2 exons. The record is from RefSeq and is a predicted model, not a curated record. NCBI's taxonomy places the organism in Eukaryota, Metazoa, Chordata, Mammalia, Primates, Cebidae.